UCAAGCUAUAAAGAGCGUAGGGAGAAUGACUUGGCAUCAGGAGCCGAAGAAGGACGUGACAAGCUGCGAAAAGCUGCGGUUAGGAGCAAAUAUCCAUAGACCCGCAGAUAUCCGAAUGGGGAAACCCGGUACGGCAAUACCGUAUCACUGCAUGGUAAAUACAUAGCCAUGUGGAGGAAACCCUCUGAACUGAAACAUCUAAGUAGGAGGAGGAAAAGAAAGAAACAUCGAUUUCCAAAGUAGCGGCGAGCGAAAUGGAAGAAGCCCAAACCGAUAUUGUUACGGCAAUAUCGGGGUUGUAGGACUGCAAUAUUCAAUUAACAAUGAACUGGAAUGGUCUGGAAAGUCCAUCCAUAGAGAGUGAAAGGCUCGUACAGGUAAGUUUGUUAUGCGAAAGCAGUAUCCUGAGUAUGGCGGGACACGAGGAAUCCUGUCAGAAUCAGCCGGGACCACCCGGUAAGGCUAAAUACUCCCAAGAGACCGAUAGUGGACCAGUACUGUGAAGGAAAGGUGAAAAGAACCCCGAACAGGGGAGUGAAAUAGAACCUGAAACCAUACGCUUACAACCGGUCGGAGCAGCUUCGUGCUGUGACGGCGUGCCUAUUGAAUAAUGAGCCUACGAGUUACUAAUCACUGGCAAGGUUAAGUGCACGGAUGCACGGAGCCGAAGCGAAAGCGAGUCUGAAUAGGGCGUUUAGUCAGUGGUUGUAGACGCGAAACCUUGCGAUCUACCCUUGAGCAGGUUGAAGGUUGGGUAAAACCAACUGGAGGACCGAACGAAUAAGCGUUGAAAAGCUUCUCGAUGACUUGAGGGUAGGGGUGAAAGGCUAAUCAAGCUGGGAAAUAGCUCGUACUCCCCGAAAUGCCUUUAGGGGCAGCGUUGUAAUUAAGAGUCUACUGGAGGUAGAGCUACUGAUUGGAUGCGGGGGCUUCACCGCCUACCAAAUCCUGACAAACUCCGAAUGCCAGUAGUAUGAUUUACAGCAGUGAGUGACUGGGUGCUAAUGUCCAGUCGCAAAAGAGGAACAACUCAGACCAGCAACUAAGGUCCCGAAGAAUAUGCUAAGUUGAUCUAACGAUGUUUUGUUGCAGAGACAGCUAGGAUGUUAGCUUGGAAGCAGCUAUUCAUUCAAAGAGUGCGUAACAGCUCACUAGUCGAGCGACAGAGCGUGGAUAAUAAACGGGCAUCAAGCAUAUCACCGAAGUUCUGGGCGCGAGAGCGCGGUAGGGGAGCAUUCCAUUCAGCGUCGAAGCAGUUUCGUGAGGAAUUGUGGAGCGUAUGGAAAAGCAAAUGUAGGCAUGAGUAACGAUAAUGCGGGAGAGUAACCCGCACACCGCAAGACCAAGGUUUCCUGAUCAACGCUAAUCGGAUCAGGGUUAGUCGGGUCCUAAGGGUAAGCCGAACGGCGAUCUCGAUGGAUAAUCGGUUAAUAUUCCGAUACUAACAUAUACCUCGAUGGAGAGACGAAGGAACGUAAGUGCCGCCACCUGACGGAAUAGGUGGUUAAAGGGCGUAGGUAUAGGGGCAGAUUAAGAGUUAGUCCUUGCUGAAACCUGACAGUACAGAGAGCCUACGGGCAAUUUGAUAGAGCACCCAAGUCGACUUCCGAGAAAAUCUUCUAAGUUAUAGUAUAUGUUACCCGUACCGUAAACCGACACAGGUGGUCGAGGAGAGUAUCCUAAGGUGCUCGAGUGAAUCACGGUUAAGGAACUAGGCAAAUUAACCCCGUAACUUCGGGAAAAGGGGUCCCUAUGAAAGUAGGGCGCAGCGAAGAGGUCCAGGCGACUGUUUAUCAAAAACACAGGGCUCUGCAAAUUCGAAAGAAGACGUAUAGGGCCUGACACCUGCCCGGUGCUGGAAGGUUAAGAGGGGAUGUCAUCGCAAGAGAAGCAUUGAAUCGAAGCCCCAGUAAACGGCGGCCGUAACUAUAACGGUCCUAAGGUAGCGAAAUUCCUUGUCGGGUAAGUUCCGACCUGCACGAAUGGUGUAACGAUCUGGACACUGUCUCAACCGUGAGCUCGGUGAAAUUGUAGUCCCGGUGAUGAUGCCGGGUACCCGCAACGGGACGAAAAGACCCCGUGAACCUUUACUAUAGCUUAACGCUGAAUUUGGGUACACAAUGUGUAGGAUAGGCCGGAGGCUUUGAAGCGGGCACGCCAGUGUUCGUGGAGCCGACGUUGAAAUACGGCCCUUUGUGUAUUUGAGUUCUAACCCUGCGAAGGGGACACCGUUUGGUGGGUAGUUUGACUGGGGUGGUCGCCUCCAAAAGCGUAACGGAGGCUUCCCAAGGUACCCUCAGCACGAAUGGUAACCGUGCGCGGAGUGCAAUAGCAUAAGGGUGCUUGACUGUGAGACAUACAAGUCGACCAGGUACGAAAGUAGGGUAUAGUGAUCCGGUGGUUCUGCGUGGACUGGCCAUCGCUCAAAGGAUAAAAGGUACUCCGGGGAUAACAGGCUGAUCGCCGCCAAGAGCUCAUAUCGACGCGGCGGUUUGGCACCUCGAUGUCGGCUCGUCACAUCCUGGGGCUGGAGAAGGUCCCAAGGGUUCGGCUGUUCGCCGAUUAAAGUGGCACGCGAGCUGGGUUCAGAACGUCGUGAGACAGUUCGGUCUCUAUCUGUUGCGGGCGUAGGAAGAUUGAGGGGUCCUGACUUUAGUACGAGAGGACCGAGUUGGACGAACCUCCGGUGUAUCGGUUAUGCUGCCAAGUGUACUGCCGAGUAGCCGCGUUCGGUCUGGAUAAGCGCUGAAAGCAUCUAAGCGCGAAGCCAUCCCCAAGAUAAGUCUUCCCUUGAGGGGCGUAGGAGACUACUACGUUGAUAGGCUGCAGGUGUAAAGACAGCAAUGUCAAAGCCGAGCAGUACUAAUUACCCGAUAGGCUUUCUUUUU
RNAcentral lists this ribosomal RNA (2888 nucleotides) under human gut metagenome. RNAcentral's name for it is "bacterial LSU rRNA". It matches the Rfam family "Bacterial large subunit ribosomal RNA". The record is from RNAcentral.